RNAcentral lists this ribosomal RNA (253 nucleotides) under uncultured bacterium. RNAcentral's name for it is "partial 16S ribosomal RNA". It matches the Rfam family "Bacterial small subunit ribosomal RNA", at positions 524 to 776 of the family's 1533-position model. The record is from RNAcentral.
UACGUAGGGUGCAAGCGUUGUCCGGAAUUAUUGGGCGUAAAGCGCGUGUAGGCGGCCAGAUAAGUCCGCUGUGAAAUCUCGAGGCUCAACUUCGAGCUGUCGGUGGAAACUGUCUGGCUAGAGUCCGGAAGAGGAGAAUGGAAUUCCUGGUGUAGCGGUGAAAUGCGCAGAUAUCAGGAAGAACACCCGUGGCGAAGGCGGUUCUCUGGGACGGUACUGACGCUGAGACGCGAAAGCGUGGGGAGCGAACAGG